CCUACGGGGCGCAGCAGCCGCGGUAAUACGUAGGUGGCAAGCGUUAUCCGGAUUUAUUGGGUGUAAAGGGCGUGUAGGCGGGAAUGCAAGUCAGAUGUGAAAACUAUGGGCUCAACCCAUAGCCUGCAUUUGAAACUGUAUUUCUUGAGUGCUGGAGAGGCAAUCGGAAUUCCGUGUGUAGCGGUGAAAUGCGUAGAUAUACGGAGGAACACCAGUGGCGAAGGCGGAUUGCUGGACAGUAACUGACGCUGAGGCGCGAAAGCGUGGGGAGCAAACAGGAUUAGAAACCCCGGUAGUCCAAGAUC
This 305-nucleotide ribosomal RNA is filed under the name uncultured bacterium. RNAcentral describes it as "bacterial SSU rRNA". It matches the Rfam family "Bacterial small subunit ribosomal RNA", at positions 500 to 802 of the family's 1533-position model. The record is from RNAcentral.